AGUCCACAUCGACGGGGAGGUUUGGCACCUCGAUGUCGGCUCAUCGCAUCCUGGGGCUGAAGUAGGUCCCAAGGGUUGGGCUGUUCGCCCAUUAAAGCGGUACGCGAGCUGGGUUCAGAACGUCGUGAGACAGUUCGGUCCCUAUCUGUCGCGGGCGCAGGAAGUUUGAGGAGAGCUGUCCUUAGUACGAGAGGACCGGGAUGGACGCACCGCUGGUGCACCAGUUGUCACGCCAGUGGCACAGCUGGGUAGCUAUGUGCGGAAGGGAUAAGCGCUGAAAGCAUCUAAGCGUGAAGCCCCCUCCAAGAUGAGACUUCCCACAGCGUUAAGCUGGUAAGACCCCUCAUAGACGAUGAGGUUGAUAGGUUCGGUGUGGAAGCGCGGCAACGCGUGGAGCUGACGAAUACUAAUCGGUCGAGGACUUAUCCAC
RNAcentral lists this non-coding RNA (430 nucleotides) under Brevibacillus borstelensis AK1. Its description in RNAcentral is "Bacterial large subunit ribosomal RNA". It matches the Rfam family "Bacterial large subunit ribosomal RNA", at positions 2497 to 2925 of the family's 2925-position model. The record is from Rfam by way of RNAcentral. Lineage: Bacteria; Bacillati; Bacillota; Bacilli; Caryophanales; Paenibacillaceae.